UGAGGGANGAAGGCCUUUGGGUUGUAAACCUCUUUUGUUAGGGAAGAUAAUGACUGUACCCUACCAAUAAGGUCCGGCUA
RNAcentral lists this ribosomal RNA (80 nucleotides) under uncultured cyanobacterium. Its description in RNAcentral is "partial 16S ribosomal RNA". Lineage: Bacteria; Bacillati; Cyanobacteriota. The record is from RNAcentral.